AUAUUGCACCAUGGGCGCAAGCCUGAUGCAGCGACGCCGCGUGGGGGAUGAAGGCCUUCGGGUUGUACCAUCCUUUCGCUAUCGACACAGCCACUUGUGGUUACGGUAGGUAGAUAAGAAGCACCGGCUAACUAAGUGCCAGCAGCCGCGGUAAUACGUAGGGUGCAAGCGUUGUCCGGAAUUACUGGGCGUAAAGAGCUCGUAGGGGGUUUGUCGCGUCGUCUGUGAAAUCCCGGGGCUUAACUUCGGGCGUGCAGGCGAUACGGGCAUAACUUGAGUGCUGUAGGGGAGACUGGAAUUCCUGGUGUAGCGGUGAAAUGCGCAGAUAUCAGGAGGAACACCGAUGGCGAAGGCAGGUCUCUGGGCAGUUACUGACGCUGAGGAGCGAAAGCAUGGGUAGCGAACAG
RNAcentral lists this ribosomal RNA (407 nucleotides) under uncultured bacterium. RNAcentral's name for it is "partial 16S ribosomal RNA". It matches the Rfam family "Bacterial small subunit ribosomal RNA", at positions 361 to 775 of the family's 1533-position model. The record is from RNAcentral.